Long non-coding RNA from Malania oleifera, 1788 nucleotides. RefSeq lists it as uncharacterized. The transcript has 2 exons. NCBI's taxonomy places the organism in Eukaryota, Viridiplantae, Streptophyta, Magnoliopsida, Santalales, Ximeniaceae. The record is from RefSeq and is a predicted model, not a curated record.
CCAUGCAAGGACAACUAGGGCUGAGAAAGAAGGAGGGGCAACAGCUAUGAAGCUGUUGUACGCACAAGACAGUAGACACACACGACCGCAAGGAAAAGAAAAAAAAGAGGUGAAAAGAAAAGAAAAAGAGAGGAAGGAGGGCACCACACAGGGAAGACACUACCACAGAGAAGGAAUGACAGCGGUGCACAAACAACCAUAGCCUCACUCUCUCCACACACCACCACAGCCUCACCUUCUCCCUCUCCACGCUCACAUAGUGCACAACCCCUCUCCAACCCCUCUUCAAGCCCUCACGCACACACUCAACCACACAGCAGCCUCCCUCUCAGCCUCACACUAGUCCAGCACUCAUCCCCUCACGACCACCUUCCUCACCCGUUCUGAGCUAAGGCCCAACCCCUCUCCAACCUCCCUCACGGCCUCUUCUCCAAAGGGUGAGUUGGAAGAUGAGGUUGCUGUCUCAGGGAGGUCCUCUCAUCCUUAUUCGACAUGUUUUAUCAUGCAUGGCGACACAUACGCUAGCGGUUCUCUCAGUUCCUUUGGUGGUGAUCAGAAAUAUUAAUUUCAUUCUCUCUUCUUUUCUUUGGGGGAAGAGUAAUGGUAGGACAAAAAUGAAAUGGUGUGUUUGGUCAAAGGUUUGUAAACCCUUAGAUAAAGGGGGUGUUGGUGUAAGGGACCUUAAUGACGUUCAAAAAUCUUUUCACAUGAAGUUUUCUUGGAAAUUGAUGACUUUAGAUAAUCUUUGGACCCGUUUUUUUAAGGUUAAAUACGUUAAAUUAGGUCACAUGACUUCAAUCAAUUAUACUUCUACGGGCUCUUAAUUUUGGAAGAUAAUCUUAAAGGUCUUUCCAGAUGUAUAUGAGAAUGUUUAUGUGAAUGUUAGAGAAGGAAAAGUUUCUUUUUGGUUUGAUAAGUGGUUAAGCAGUGGUCCCCUCGCGGAGUGUUCUUACACAGUCCAGCAUCCUGAUCUUAAGAUUCAAUACAAUUGGGAGUAUGAAAAUUGGGAUACUGAUAUGCUGAAAGAAUUAGUAGGGGUCCCCAAAACGAAUGAGAUUUUGUUGUCGUUUAUAAAGCACAAAUUGGGAUCUAAUGUGUUUAUUUGGAAGCCUUCCAGAAAUGAAAAAUUUUCAACUUCCUUGGCUUGGGAGGUGAUAAGAAUUAAAGGGGAAUAGUACCCAUGGAUGGAGUGAGUCUGGCAUAAACUACUACCUAAGAAAGUAUCGAUGUGUAUGUGGAAAGCCAUGUUCCAAUGUCUUCCUGUUGAUGAGAGAGUGUGAAAACUGGGACUUGAUAUAGUCUUAUGUUACAACUGCUAUGAGGAUAAAAAAGAGGAAUCUCUCAACCAUGUUCUAAGUACAUGAUCCAUCGCAAGUAUGGUUUGGAAGAGAGCAACGUCUAUUUUGGGAAUUCAAAACUUUAAUGAUGAACCUUGGAGGGUGAAAAUCAAUAUAUGGUUCAGAUUUGACAAAAGAAUCAACCCAAAAAGGUAUGAUCAUCGGUUUACCUACUAUAAUUUCUUGGAGACUAUGGCUCAGACGGUGCAAAGCCCACAUGGAAGAUAAGUAUGAGUCGGGGAAUGCAGUUUGGUUAUCAAUGAGGUUUUGGCUCACAAAACCUCCUCUAAGUCCAUUCUCCCCUACAUUGCUCGUGCUCCAUCCAUCUCAUUCUCUUCAUUUUCAAUACUUUCCCUUACUAUUUUCUCAACCUUUUCUCCAUAUGUUGAUGCUUUGAGUUGGCAAGAAUUAUUAUAUUGCAAAAGAUGAGUUACUAUGAUUACCAAGCUCA